RNAcentral lists this ribosomal RNA (446 nucleotides) under uncultured bacterium. RNAcentral describes it as "bacterial SSU rRNA". It matches the Rfam family "Bacterial small subunit ribosomal RNA", at positions 329 to 792 of the family's 1533-position model. The record is from RNAcentral.
UACCAGACUCCUACGGGAGGCAGCAGUGGGGAAUAUUGCACAAUGGGGGAAACCCUGAUGCAGCGACGCCGCGUGAGCGAUGAAGUAUUUCGGUAUGUAAAGCUCUAUCAGCAGGGAAGAAGAUGACGGUACCUGACUAAGAAGCCCCGGCUAACUACGUGCCAGCAGCCGCGGUAAUACGUAGGGGGCAAGCGUUAUCCGGAUUUACUGGGUGUAAAGGGAGCGUAGACGGCGGCGCAAGCCAGAUGUGAAAGCCCGGGGCUCAACUCCGGGACUGCAUUUGGAACUGUGUGGCUGGAGUGUCGGAGAGGCAGGCGGAAUUCCUAGUGUAGCGGUGAAAUGCGUAGAUAUUAGGAGGAACACCAGUGGCGAAGGCGGCCUGCUGGACGAUGACUGACGUUGAGGCUCGAAAGCGUGGGGAGCAAACAGGAUUAGAUACCCGUGUA